CACUGACCCCGAGGGAGCCCCCGGCCCCGCCACCUUCCGCAAGGCGCUGAGAGUGCAGGAGCGGCCAGCGGGCCGAGCCAGAGCUCUUAGGGGCCGGGAGUGGUGAUGAGUGGUUCUGAAAACUUUUCUAAAGCUGGUGUAGGGACUUCUCCUAUGGAAAGCUCCAGUCUAAGAAAUAAACUGCAUCUCCUAGCCUCCCUUGCAGCCUGCUGUGGCCAUAGGACGAGUGCUCUGACCAGUGGGAUACCAGCUUUCAAGAACCUCCCUUGAAGACUGCUGCUGCUCUCAUUUUACCAGUUCUUCUCCGCUUAGUUCAUUCUGCCACGUGUAACAAGGAUGCAAUGACCACUAUCUUGGACCAUGAGGACAAGGACCGAUUACUAAGGAUGACAAAAAUGGAAAUGGGAGGUGUGUGGGCUUCUUAGAGCAGAACUGCCACACCAAACCCGGCCUCUCUAGAUCUGGAUUUUGUAUGAAAGAGAAACUUCUACUUAAGCUUCUUUUAAUGUUUUGUUACAGCAAAACUUGAUUAUAAAUAAUAAUAGUUUUGUGACCAACAUUAUAAUAUCUCUACUAAAAAUAAAUUAAGGAAUGAUAAUUAAAUUUAA
Molecule: non-coding RNA, 608 nt
Organism: Miniopterus natalensis
Lineage: Eukaryota; Metazoa; Chordata; Mammalia; Chiroptera; Miniopteridae
Source: RefSeq, a predicted model, not a curated record